Non-coding RNA from Mycena epipterygia, 94 nucleotides. The record is from the annotation of a GenBank genome assembly. Lineage: Eukaryota; Fungi; Basidiomycota; Agaricomycetes; Agaricales; Mycenaceae.
UCGGACGUGGUGCACGGCGUGCACCCGCUUUCCAUGACAAGGCGGUUUCGGAAAUAUGCGGCGGGAAACCCGGGUUCGACUCCCGGCGUCCGAA